UACAGAGGGUGCGAGCGUUAAUCGGAAUUACUGGGCGUAAAGCGCACGUAGGCGGAUGUGUCAGUCAGGGGUGAAAUCCCGGGGCUCAACCUCGGAACUGCCUUUGAUACAGCACGUCUCGAGUCCGGAAGAGGUGGGUGGAAUUCCUAGUGUAGAGGUGAAAUUCGUAGAUAUUAGGAAGAACACCGGUGGCGAAGGCGGCCCACUGGUCCGGUACUGACGCUGAGGUGCGAAAGCGUGGGGAGCAAACAGG
Molecule: ribosomal RNA, 253 nt
Filed under: uncultured bacterium
Lineage: Bacteria
Description: partial 16S ribosomal RNA
Rfam family: Bacterial small subunit ribosomal RNA
Source: RNAcentral